GGUGGUUUGUCGCGUUGUUCGUGAAAACUCACAGCUUAACUGUGGGCGUGCGGGCGAUACGGGCAGACUAGAGUACUGCAGGGGAGACUGGAAUUCCUGGUGUAGCGGUGGAAUGCGCAGAUAUCAGGAGGAACACCGGUGGCGAAGGCGGGUCUCUGGGCAGUAACUGACGCUGAGGAGCGAAAGCGUGGGGAGCGAACAGGAUUAGAUACCCUGGUAGUCCACGCCGUAAACGGUGGGUACUAGGUGUGGGUUUCCUUCCUUGGGAUCCGUGCCGUAGCUAACGCAUUAAGUACCCCGCCUGGGGAGUACGGCCGCAAGGCUAAAACUCAAAGAAAUUGACGGGGGCCCGCACAAGCGGCGGAGCAUGUGGAUUAAUUCGAUGCAACGCGAAGAACCUUACCUGGGUUUGACAUGCACAGGACGCCAGUAGAGAUAUUGGUUCCCUUGUGGCCUGUGUGCAGGUGGUGCAU
This 473-nucleotide ribosomal RNA is filed under the name Mycobacterium sp. S209. Its description in RNAcentral is "bacterial SSU rRNA". It matches the Rfam family "Bacterial small subunit ribosomal RNA", at positions 574 to 1046 of the family's 1533-position model. Lineage: Bacteria; Bacillati; Actinomycetota; Actinomycetes; Mycobacteriales; Mycobacteriaceae. The record is from RNAcentral.